CAGGGACUGAAGGGAGGAGAGGACCUGAUUGAGGGAGAGGCAAUUUCUCUCAUCUGCUGGAUGUAAAUAAAGAAGUCAGCGGGCCUUACUGUAACCAGCAGCUGUCCUACAACCCAGAGGGGAACCAGUCACCCAUCGUAGAAUGAUACAAACCCUGUGGUUACAGAGCAAAGAGAUAGAACCUAUGUUCUUGAUGACACAAUUCUGGAGGCUGGGAAUCCAGGAUCAAGGCUCCAGCAGAUUCAUUGUCUGCUGAGACAGACAUGGAAGCUUGUAGGUGGCCAAUCUUUGUUUGCUGUAUCCUCACACAGAGAAAGAGCUGCGUUUGGUCUUCGUUGCUGCAUGCAGGCUUUCUCUAGCUGAGCUGGGGCUACUCUUCGGACUGACUGAUAAAUCAACUAUAUUAAAAUUAAGAAUGUGUAUUCCUUACAAAAACAGUAGAGUAAAAACAGAUCACAAAUUGGGAGAAGAUAUUUUCAACAUAUGUAAUCAUAAAGAUUAGAGUCCAGAAUAUAAAAGAAUUCUAUGAAUCAAUAAGAAUGACAGUUUAUCAGGGCUUCCCUGGUGGUGCAGUGGUUGAGAGUCCGCCUGCCGAUGCAGGGGACACGGGUUCGUGCCCCAGUCCGGGAAGAUCCCACAUGCCGCGGAGCGGCUGGGCCCGUGAGCCAUGGCCGCUGAGCCUGCGCGUCUGGAGCCUGUGCUCUGCAACGGGAGAGGCCACAACAGUGAGAGGCCCGCGUACCGCAAAAAAAAAAAAAAAAAAAAGAAUGACAAUUUAUCAGAAAAAAUUGAGCAAAAGACAUAAACAGACGGCACAGAAGAAGAAACAAAAAUGACUCAUAAAGCCAUGUAAAGAUACUUAACCUUAAUAGUAAUCUAGACAAUUUAAAUAAGAAAUACGAUACACUGUUUCACACUCAAAAGACUGGCAAAAAUAAAAAAAGAUUUACAAAACCAGGUUUGGUCAAGGAAGCCAAGCAAUGUCAAUCAACUCUCAUGCAUGAGGUUCAGAGAACAAAUGGAUACAAUCACUUUGGGAGACUGUUAGCAUUACUUUGUAAAGUUGAACAUCCCCUGUAACCCAGCAAAUUCACUCCUGGAUAUAUACCUUGGGAAGGAAAAAUGUGCAUGGUAGCGCUGUUGAUAACAACAGUAGAAGAAACAUGAUGCAAUUCAAAUGUCCUUCUAUAAUAGAAUAGUAAAUAAAUUGUGGGUUAUUCCUAUAAUGGAGUACUACAGUUGGCCCUCCGUAUCCUUGGCUUCUACAUUUGCAGAUUCAAUCAAUCACCGAUUGAAAAUAUUUUGGGGGAAAAAAAUUCCAGAAAGGUCCAAAAGGCAACACUUGAAUUUGCUGUGGACUGGUGACCGUUUACACAGCAUUUACAUUGUAUUCACAACUAUUUACAUAGCAUUUACAUUGUAUUGGGUAUUAUAAGUAAUCUAGAGGUGAUUUAGCGGAAGGACAUGUGUAGGCUUUAUGCAAAUACUAUGCCAUUUUAUAUAAGGGACUUGAGCAUCUGUAGAUUUUGGUAUCUGAGGUCGGUCCUGGAACCAAUCCCCUGAGGAUAUCAAGGACGACUGUAUACAAAAGUAAAAAUGAAUGAACUAGACCUACACACAUUAGCAUGGAUGAAUCUCAAAAAUGAUGGCGUUGAGUGAAAAAAGCAAGUCAGUAAAUACAUACAGUAUGAUCCAUUUUAUAUACAAUUUGAACAGAGGAAAAGGGAAGUCAUUUAUUGUUUGGGGUUACAUAUAUAGGUGAUAAAAUUAAAAGGAGAAAAUAUGAAUAAUUUAAAAGAUAAUGAUUACCUUGAGGAGGGUUACGUGCAUAGAUUUGAUUGGGGAGAGUCAUUCACGGAGGUUUCAAGGUAUUUAUUGGUAAUAUUCUAUUUUGUGACCUAUGUGGUUGGUACAUGGGUGUUCAGCUUAUUAUGAUUGUUUAUCUUUAUACACUCUCUUGUAUAUAUAUAACCUACUU
Mesoplodon densirostris (Blainville's beaked whale) is the source of this 1978-nucleotide long non-coding RNA. RefSeq lists it as uncharacterized. Lineage: Eukaryota; Metazoa; Chordata; Mammalia; Artiodactyla; Ziphiidae. The record is from RefSeq and is a predicted model, not a curated record. The transcript is spliced from 4 exons.